RNAcentral lists this long non-coding RNA (237 nucleotides) under Lathyrus oleraceus (garden pea). Its description in RNAcentral is "Pisum sativum (pea) long non-coding RNA (PSAT_LNC035885)". The record is from RNAcentral. Lineage: Eukaryota; Viridiplantae; Streptophyta; Magnoliopsida; Fabales; Fabaceae.
AAUUGGUUGCUAAACACUGCUCAAACUCACACACACUGGCUGAAAAGAGACAAAAGAAACUGACUGAAACUGACUCGGCAGGAUGUCGCAUCCUGGGCCUACUUAGUCUAUCAGACAUAGACAUCAGAGUCGAAGUAGUUCGGACUGGGGAGACAACACAUGCUCGCUAAGAUGUCGCAUCCUAUGCAUACGUAUCUUCUCGGACGAGAGAAGAAUCAGAGCAUUCGUAGCUCGGCU